Long non-coding RNA from Apis cerana (Asiatic honeybee), 1483 nucleotides. RefSeq lists it as uncharacterized. The record is from RefSeq and is a predicted model, not a curated record. NCBI's taxonomy places the organism in Eukaryota, Metazoa, Arthropoda, Insecta, Hymenoptera, Apidae.
CAAUCGUAUUGUUAUUUCAUGUCUAGUUAAUUUUUCUUCUUCUAUUACUCCCAAAUAAGAAUAUAAGGCAAUAGAAUUUACUGCUAACUAAAAUCUGGAAUAAACUUGUGAUAUACUAAAGAAAAAAUUCAAUCUGAAUUUUAUAAGUAAAAUAUUCAGUAAAAAAUUCAAAAUAAUUAAAUUAUUUUUAAAAAAUAAUUUGUUUUAUAAAAAAAAUAUAUUUUAUAAUAAUUUUCUCGUAUAUUUUAUAAAAAUUAUAGAAAUAAACAAAAUUAUAAUAAUUUGAAACAUGGCUUUGCUAAAAAUAUAUCAUGUAUCCAAUUGUAUGGAAUUAAUGCUUUUAUCAACAAAAAAAUGUUGCAUGUGUGUGAAUAUCUGAUCGCCAUUUGAGAAGAAUUUGAGAAAUAUUUAAGUUCUUUAUGGAUUGAUUCCAACGAGGAUGCCAAAAACUAUAAAAUUUCGAGUUUAUGUUCAUUUGAUGUCUUAAAUGUUAAAUUAAUGAUAAAUUAUUUUCAAAAGAAAUAAUAUGAUCCCUUUUUGAAAAAUUAAUAAAAAAGUAUCGAGCAUUGGAAAAUAUGAAUAAAAAUGGAAUUCAAAAACAUAUGUAAUGUAUACACAUAAUCGAAUGGUGCGCCUUGUGGUCGGUUGAAAAAGUUAUACCAUCAAAGAAGGAAAAACGGGAGAGCACGUAAAAUCUAAGCAUGUGGAAAAUAAGAAAAUAAAAAACACUAGAAAAAAGUUAAGUAAAAAUGAUCAAUGAUUAAAAUUGUUGUGGUUUUAUAAAAAAAUGUAAAAAAAAGAAGAUAAAUUAGAAAAAAGAAAAAAAUUAUGAUGUAAAUACAAUUAUAGAAAAAAAUUGGAGAAUUAGAGGUUAAAUUAGAAAAGAAAAGAGAUAAGAAUCAGUAUUUAAAAAGAUAAAAAAAGAAAUAAGAAAAAUAAAAACAGAAAUAUAGAAAUAUUAAAAAAGAAGAUUGAAAAGAUGGAGAAGAUCAAAAAAUAAUAGAUUAAAAAUAUAAAAUUAGGAAACGAAAAAAAGGAGAUAGAAGAAAAUAAGAAAAAAUAAGAUUAAUAAUUCUGGAUAAUAAAAAUCUGGAACUGAAAAAUAUAAGAGAAAAUAUAAAAGAAUAUAUAUGAGUAUUAAUGAGAAUAAAAGAAAUAGUAGAUAGAAUUCUAUAGGUGAGAGAAAAAAAUAAAAUAAAUCUAAGAAUCAAUCGUAUAAAAAAUUAGAGAAAAAAGAAAAAAGGAAAUUAUAAAUUUUUAUAUUUAAUUUUUAUCUUAAUUUAAUAUUGAAAUCACAAUCAUCAAUAAGAUGUUUCAAAAGAUAUUAUGCUGUUAUCCUUAAGCUGCUGCAGGCAAUACCAACAGUUCUAGAAACGAUGGUAAUGCGACUAUUUGCACCAACUUUAGCGAAACAAUGAAGACAAAUAGUAUCAGAGAUCUUUGGAAUGAACACAAUGAUGGUAAUAAAGGAAAAAAAUCUGGC